Molecule: ribosomal RNA, 158 nt
Filed under: fungal endophyte sp. AP276
Lineage: Eukaryota; Fungi
Description: 5.8S ribosomal RNA
Rfam family: 5.8S ribosomal RNA
About the family: 5.8S ribosomal RNA (5.8S rRNA) is a component of the large subunit of the eukaryotic ribosome. It is transcribed by RNA polymerase I as part of the 45S precursor that also contains 18S and 28S rRNA. Functionally, it is thought that 5.8S rRNA may be involved in ribosome translocation.
Source: RNAcentral
AAACUUUCAACAACGGAUCUCUUGGUUCUGGCAUCGAUGAAGAACGCAGCGAAAUGCGAUAAGUAAUGUGAAUUGCAGAAUUCAGUGAAUCAUCGAAUCUUUGAACGCACAUUGCGCCCGCUAGUACUCUAGGCGGGCAUGCCUGUUCGAGCGUCAUU